RNAcentral lists this ribosomal RNA (693 nucleotides) under uncultured Bacillota bacterium. RNAcentral describes it as "bacterial SSU rRNA". It matches the Rfam family "Bacterial small subunit ribosomal RNA", at positions 211 to 917 of the family's 1533-position model. The record is from RNAcentral. Lineage: Bacteria; Bacillati; Bacillota.
UUUAUCGCUGAAAGAUGGGCCCGCGUCUGAUUAGAUAGUUGGUGGGGUAACGGCCUACCAAGUCUACGAUCAGUAGCCGGACUGAGAGGUUGAACGGCCACAUUGGGACUGAGAUACGGCCCAGACUCCUACGGGAGGCAGCAGUGGGGAAUAUUGCACAAUGGGGGAAACCCUGAUGCAGCAACGCCGCGUGAAGGAUGACGGUUUUCGGAUUGUAAACUUCUUUUCUUAGUGACGAAGACAGUGACGGUAGCUACGGAAUAAGCAUCGGCUAACUACGUGCCAGCAGCCGCGGUAAUACGUAGGAUGCAAGCGUUAUCCGGAUUUACUGGGUGUAAAGGGAGCGCAGGCGGGACUGCAAGUUGGAUGUGAAAUACCGUGGCUUAACCACGGAACUGCAUCCAAAACUGUAGUUCUUGAGUGAAGUAGAGGCAAGCAGAAUUCCGAGUGUAGCGGUGAAAUGCGUAGAUAUUCGGAGGAACACCAGUGGCGAAGGCGGCUUGCUGGGCUUUAACUGACGCUGAGGCUCGAAAGUGUGGGGAGCAAACAGGAUUAGAUACCCUGGUAGUCCACACUGUAAACGAUGAUAGCUAGGUGUGGGGGGGUCUGACCCCUUCCGUGCCGGAGUUAACGCAAUAAGCUAUCCACCUGGGGAGUACGACCGCAAGGUUGCAACUCAAAUGAAUUGACGGA